ACAAACUAUUUACAAAAAUACCCUUACUAAUUUAUUAUCUACAAGAAUACUUAUAUUCUCUUAACAAUAACAUACAAUUCUAUCCAAAGCACACUUAAACCAAUAUGAAAAUGACAGCAAUUUAUGGGGUAGGGCUGUAAAUGGUCAUGCUCUAGAUUCAGAUAUAUAUCCUAUUAUGCACACACAUACAUCUAAGCGGCACAUAGAGCUUAUACUUGUAUUAAAAUGCAUAUAUGCAGUUUAUUUAGUUAAAAAGUAACUUUAAACAUAAACAAAAAAAUUUGUUCUUACAACUUUACCAUUUACAAAAAGCAUAAAGAAGAGCUUAAAUUGAGCAAUAACAAUCAGACAUGGUCACGGAAAUGGCUGGUAAAAUCCAAAUCCCAACCAUGAGAAGCGUAGGUGGGGGAGAAAGCACCGAGUCAGUGAAGGGUCAGAAAUAACAAGAGGAAGAGAUAGUGGACAAGCAUGGGACACAGACAGAAACAGGUUGGGGUUUGUUACUGCAGCCAUGAGAGAGAGAGAGAGAGAGAGAGAGAGAGAGAGAGAGAGAGAGGGAGGGAGGGAGUUCGUGUUUGCUGUCAGUUGUUAAGAAAAAGAAAAGGGAUAGAGAAAGGGCAGCAAGCAGCAAGGGCAUAUCUGGUAAAGCUGUCUGUAAGAGGUCUCCAAUUUCCCAAAAAAAGGUGAUUUGAGCACUAAGGGAUUGGCAAUUUAGUGUGGAGGGGAAUGAUACGGCACCAUCAACAUGCACCUAAGGUUUGUUAGAACCUAAAAUUGAGGUACAAAUCAAUAACGUGCCAAAAACCAUGGGUCUCUGGACAUUCAUUCAGCUGUUCAUCUUCUGCUUAAGUAUAUUUUUCAUAGAAUCUCACUGCCAAAGGGUAUCAGUUAGCACCUCAGAGCUAUGCAACAUGGAAGCAGUAAGAGGGAAAAGUGGUCCACAUGGAAGGAAUAAGCAAAAAAUUAGUACCAAGCACUGAAAGGGAUAGAGAGCCAUGACAUAAGAAUAUACCUGCAAAUUCCUCUUGACUGUCUCUGAAGCAAGCUCCUUCAUCAGCAUAUGGGGAACUCCAAUCAACAUCUAACACGUUACAAGAUUAUAUUUAAGCAUUCUGGAGUUGGAUAUACACAUUUGACAUGUUACCACCUUUUUCACCAAGUUCUGGACAAAGAACCGUUGGAAGGCUAUUAGAGCGGUCAGCCAAGGGAACUUUUUCACAUUCAAGUAAUAUAGCAUCCUUGCUUCCCAAAUUAUAGUCAUUCACCAGCAUGCCAAUAUCAGUCUCCUCUGUAAAAGUAGCUGUUUCCAAAUCUUUAGUUCUUGUUGGAUCUUUAUCAGCCCCAUCUUGACAUCUCAAGCUUACCUCUCUGUGGUCAGAAGUUCCUUCUACUGCAUUUAUACCUCUAUCA
Coffea arabica (coffee) is the source of this 1410-nucleotide non-coding RNA. The record is from RefSeq and is a predicted model, not a curated record. Lineage: Eukaryota; Viridiplantae; Streptophyta; Magnoliopsida; Gentianales; Rubiaceae.